GACGGGGGAUGCAAGUGUUAUCCGGAAUCACUGGGCGUAAAGCGUCUGCAGGUGGUUUCCUAAGUCCACUGUUAAACCUUGAGGCUCAACCUCAAAUCUGCAUUGGAAACUAGGAGACUUGAGUAUAGUAGGGGUAGAGGGAAUUUCCAGUGGAGCGGUGAAAUGCGUAGAUAUUGGAAAGAACACCGAUGGCGAAGGCACUCUACUGGGCUAUUACUGACACUCAGAGACGAAAGCUAGGGGAGCAAGUGGG
This 253-nucleotide ribosomal RNA is filed under the name uncultured bacterium. Its description in RNAcentral is "partial 16S ribosomal RNA". It matches the Rfam family "Bacterial small subunit ribosomal RNA", at positions 524 to 776 of the family's 1533-position model. The record is from RNAcentral.